This 1556-nucleotide ribosomal RNA is filed under the name Enterococcus faecium. RNAcentral's name for it is "bacterial SSU rRNA". It matches the Rfam family "Bacterial small subunit ribosomal RNA". The record is from RNAcentral. Lineage: Bacteria; Bacillati; Bacillota; Bacilli; Lactobacillales; Enterococcaceae.
UAUGAGAGUUUGAUCCUGGCUCAGGACGAACGCUGGCGGCGUGCCUAAUACAUGCAAGUCGAACGCUUCUUUUUCCACCGGAGCUUGCUCCACCGGAAAAAGAGGAGUGGCGAACGGGUGAGUAACACGUGGGUAACCUGCCCAUCAGAAGGGGAUAACACUUGGAAACAGGUGCUAAUACCGUAUAACAAUCAAAACCGCAUGGUUUUGAUUUGAAAGGCGCUUUCGGGUGUCGCUGAUGGAUGGACCCGCGGUGCAUUAGCUAGUUGGUGAGGUAACGGCUCACCAAGGCCACGAUGCAUAGCCGACCUGAGAGGGUGAUCGGCCACAUUGGGACUGAGACACGGCCCAAACUCCUACGGGAGGCAGCAGUAGGGAAUCUUCGGCAAUGGACGAAAGUCUGACCGAGCAACGCCGCGUGAGUGAAGAAGGUUUUCGGAUCGUAAAACUCUGUUGUUAGAGAAGAACAAGGAUGAGAGUAACUGUUCAUCCCUUGACGGUAUCUAACCAGAAAGCCACGGCUAACUACGUGCCAGCAGCCGCGGUAAUACGUAGGUGGCAAGCGUUGUCCGGAUUUAUUGGGCGUAAAGCGAGCGCAGGCGGUUCCGGAUUUAUUGGGCGUAAAGCGAGCGCAGGCGGUUUCUUAAGUCUGAUAACUGGGAGACUUGAGUGCAGAAGAGGAGAGUGGAAUUCCAUGUGUAGCGGUGAAAUGCGUAGAUAUAUGGAGGAACACCAGUGGCGAAGGCGGCUCUCUGGUCUGUAACUGACGCUGAGGCUCGAAAGCGUGGGGAGCAAACAGGAUUAGAUACCCUGGUAGUCCACGCCGUAAACGAUGAGUGCUAAGUGUUGGAGGGUUUCCGCCCUUCAGUGCUGCAGCUAACGCAUUAAGCACUCCGCCUGGGGAGUACGACCGCAAGGUUGAAACUCAAAGGAAUUGACGGGGGCCCGCACAAGCGGUGGAGCAUGUGGUUUAAUUCGAAGCAACGCGAAGAACCUUACCAGGUCUUGACAUCCUUUGACCACUCUAGAGAUAGAGCUUCCCCUUCGGGGGCAAAGUGACAGGUGGUGCAUGGUUGUCGUCAGCUCGUGUCGUGAGAUGUUGGGUUAAGUCCCGCAACGAGCGCAACCCUUAUUGUUAGUUGCCAUCAUUCAGUUGGGCACUCUAGCAAGACUGCCGGUGACAAACCGGAGGAAGGUGGGGAUGACGUCAAAUCAUCAUGCCCCUUAUGACCUGGGCUACACACGUGCUACAAUGGGAAGUACAACGAGUCGCGAAGUCGCGAGGCUAAGCUAAUCUCUUAAAGCUUCUCUCAGUUCGGAUUGCAGGCUGCAACUCGCCUGCAUGAAGCCGGAAUCGCUAGUAAUCGCGGAUCAGCACGCCGCGGUGAAUACGUUCCCGGGCCUUGUACACACCGCCCGUCACACCACGAGAGUUUGUAACACCCGAAGUCGGUGAGGUAACCUUUUGGAGCCAGCCGCCUAAGGUGGGAUAGAUGAUUGGGGUGAAGUCGUAACAAGGUAGCCGUAUCGGAAGGUGCGGCUGGAUCACCUCCUUU